RNAcentral lists this microRNA precursor (92 nucleotides) under human gammaherpesvirus 4 (Epstein-Barr virus). Its description in RNAcentral is "Human gammaherpesvirus 4 (Epstein-Barr virus) microRNA ebv-mir-BART6 precursor". Its record names the gene ebv-mir-BART6. The record is from miRBase by way of RNAcentral. Lineage: Duplodnaviria; Heunggongvirae; Peploviricota; Herviviricetes; Herpesvirales; Orthoherpesviridae.
UGACCUUGUUGGUACUUUAAGGUUGGUCCAAUCCAUAGGCUUUUUUUGUGAAAACCCGGGGAUCGGACUAGCCUUAGAGUAACUCAAGGCCA